UCUGUUUUUUAGAUUAUUUAAUAGAUAAGAAGGAUGUUUUAAUAACGUUAAAGAAAUGGAAAUUUUAAGAUUUGCAGAGAAAUAGCUUGACAAAUUUCAUUUUAACAAAGUGUCUCAAUGUCGGAGUUCUAUCUCUUUGAAAUUUUUAGUAUUACAUUCUCUGUAAAAUAGAGGUAAUCAAUUUUGUGGAAUAGCCCAGGAUACUUAAAGAAACACAUUCUUGAAAAACUACUAGAAAAAUUGAAUGUUCUAACAUCAAUAAAAAAAAAUAAAU
Molecule: long non-coding RNA, 274 nt
Organism: Apis dorsata (giant honeybee)
Lineage: Eukaryota; Metazoa; Arthropoda; Insecta; Hymenoptera; Apidae
Exons: 2
Source: RefSeq, a predicted model, not a curated record